CCUACGGGAGGCAGCAGUGGGGAAUAUUGCACAAUGGGGGAAACCCUGAUGCAGCGACGCCGCGUGAGUGAAGAAGUAUUUCGGUAUGUAAAGCUCUAUCAGCAGGGAAGAAGCAAGACGGUACCUGACUAAGAAGCCCCGGCUAACUACGUGCCAGCAGCCGCGGUAAUACGUAGGGGGCAAGCGUUAUCCGGAUUUACUGGGUGUAAAGGGAGCGUAGACGGUAUGGCAAGUCUGAAGUGAAAGCCCAUGGCUUAACCCUGGGAUUGCUUUGGAAACUGUUAGACUAGAGUGCUGAGAGGGAAGGUGGAAUUCAUGGUGUAGCGGUGAAAUGCGUAGAUAUUAGGAGGAA
This 352-nucleotide ribosomal RNA is filed under the name uncultured bacterium. RNAcentral's name for it is "partial 16S ribosomal RNA". It matches the Rfam family "Bacterial small subunit ribosomal RNA", at positions 338 to 706 of the family's 1533-position model. The record is from RNAcentral.